GUGUUCACUUCGGCAACACAUGUACUAAAACUGGACAGACACAGAGACAGCAUGACCGCAGUGCAGGCUGACAUGCAAACUCAGGAAGUGAGCCAUAUUUUU
Meriones unguiculatus (Mongolian gerbil) is the source of this 102-nucleotide small nuclear RNA. NCBI's taxonomy places the organism in Eukaryota, Metazoa, Chordata, Mammalia, Rodentia, Muridae. The record is from Ensembl.